Molecule: ribosomal RNA, 241 nt
Filed under: uncultured bacterium
Lineage: Bacteria
Description: partial 16S ribosomal RNA
Rfam family: Bacterial small subunit ribosomal RNA
Source: RNAcentral
UACGGAGGGUGCGAGCGUUGUCCGGAAUCACUGGGCGUAAAGGGCGCGUAGGCGGCCUGAUAAGUAGGGGGUGAAAUCCUGCGGCUUAACCGCAGGGCUGCCUUCUAAACUGUCAGGCUUGAGCACAGUAGAGGCAGGUGGAAUUCCCGGUGUAGCGGUGGAAUGCGUAGAGAUCGGGAAGAACAUCAGUGGCGAAGGCGGCCUGCUGGGCUGUUGCUGGACGCUGAGGCGCGGACAGCGU